Molecule: ribosomal RNA, 269 nt
Filed under: uncultured marine eukaryote
Lineage: Eukaryota
Description: partial 18S ribosomal RNA
Rfam family: Eukaryotic small subunit ribosomal RNA
Source: RNAcentral
AGUUAAAAAGCUCGUAGUUGGAUUUCGGAAUGGGCCAGUUGGUCCGCCUCACGGUGUGUUACUGGCUGGUCUGUUCUUCUUCGCAAAGACUGCGUGUGCUCUUUACCGAGUGUGCGUAGGAUUUACGACGUUUACUUUGAAAAAAUUAGAGUGUUCAAAGCAGGCCUACCGCUUGAAUACAUGAGCAUGGAAUAAUGGAAUAGGACUUUGGUCUUAUUUUGUUGGUUUCUAAGACCGAAGUAAUGAUUAAGAGGGACAGUCGGGGGCAU